This 749-nucleotide long non-coding RNA is filed under the name Triticum aestivum (bread wheat). RNAcentral describes it as "long non-coding RNA (TAES_LNC012309)". The record is from RNAcentral. Lineage: Eukaryota; Viridiplantae; Streptophyta; Magnoliopsida; Poales; Poaceae.
UUUCUCAAAGAAAGGAAUACCCCAUGCAAAGGGCCAAAAACUAUUGGUCUUUGUUAUCAAAUUUAAUAUCGAACAUAUGCGCAUUCAGACUAUUAAAUUGAGAACCUCACUGAACAUAAUCAUCAUGUUUCAUGGGAAAUGGUAAUAGGAAACUAAUAAAAUGUUAUUUUAAUCAAUCUCGACAGAAUCAAUGCACGGUAGUAGCUUCAUGAGGUGUGACCUACGAGUGCAUAAAUAUCCCAAUAUACCAGCUCGAAAGAAGCCACUCUCUGUAGCUUGUUCAGCUCAGCCAACAAAGACACCGGAGCAUGGACCGGGCGCAAUCACCCCGCAUCACUGGAGCCGCCGGGAGCACACUCGUUAACCUGCACAUGAAAAAUGUUUCUCAAAGAAAGGAAUACCCCAUGCAAAGGGCCAAAAACUAUUGGUCUUUGUUAUCAAAUUUAAUAUCAAACAUAUGCGCAUUCACACUAUUAAAUUGAGAACCUCACUCAACAUAAUCAUCAUGUUUCAUGGGAAAUGGUAAUAGAAAACUAAUAAAAUGUUAUUUUAAUCAAUCUCGACAGAAUCAAUGCACGGUAGUAGCUUCAUGAGGUGUGACCUACGAGUGCAUAAAUAUCCCAAUAUACCAGCUCGAAAGAAGCCACUCUCUGUAGCUUGUUCAGCUCAGCCAACAAAGACACCGGAGCAUGGACCGGGCGCAAUCACCCCGCAUCACUGGAGCCGCCGGGAGCACACUCGUUAACCUG